GAUCCUGGCUCAGGAUGAACGCUAGCUACAGGCUUAACACAUGCAAGUCGAGGGGCAGCAUGAACUUAGCUUGCUAAGUUUGAUGGCGUACCGGCGCACGGGUGAGUAACACGUAUCCAACCUUCCGUUUUACCUCAGGGAGUAGCCUUUCGAAAGAAAGAUUAAUACCUGAUAGUAUGGUGGAGAUUGCAUUGAUAACAACCAUUUAAAGAUUUUAGUUGGGUAAACCGAUGGGGGAUGCGGUUCCAUUAGGUAGG
RNAcentral lists this ribosomal RNA (257 nucleotides) under uncultured bacterium. RNAcentral's name for it is "partial 16S ribosomal RNA". It matches the Rfam family "Bacterial small subunit ribosomal RNA", at positions 15 to 249 of the family's 1533-position model. The record is from RNAcentral.